CAGCCAGCCAAGCCAUGCCAUGCCGUGAAUUUAAAAAUGAAAACUUAAUUUGAUCUACUUUUCAUGAUUCUUAACGAAGAAUCGAUUGUAUUAUCGGCGUCUACUUGACUAUACUCAGUUUCAUCGAACACAGAUCGACACUUCCAAGAGCUUGCCUUAUCAGAUGUACAUUGCUGCUCAGUGCCAUUUGCUCUAUGCCUGUAGAUGUUUCCUGUCAUGUGUGGAAGGAACGUCGGGUAGAGAAUCGAUGGCUACCUUAAUAUCA
Non-coding RNA from Bemisia tabaci, 265 nucleotides. The record is from RefSeq and is a predicted model, not a curated record. NCBI's taxonomy places the organism in Eukaryota, Metazoa, Arthropoda, Insecta, Hemiptera, Aleyrodidae.